GGUUGAGGAGGAAGGACUUCCCUGAGUGCUGCUCCCCCAGGACAGCGAGGAGGCAGACUGGGGUGUCCCUGGCCAGAGGGUGCUUCAGGCAGCGGUUGAUGGCCCCCAUCCUAAGGAUGAGGCCCCCAGAGGCAUUGAUGCGAACCAGCAGCAGCGGCUCCGCCCUCACAGGACACGUCUCCUGGGCCAGGAGAAGAGAGGGGCCCCUGAGCAUCCAGGACCAGCUCCUGACCCUGGAAUGUGUUCAGCCUGGAGCUCUGUGUCCUGAUGUUCUAGAAUAGGGCCAAAGCCACCCCCUCCUCUUGGGUCUGACUGAUUAGGCCCAGUCCCCAGACCUGCAGUGCAGGGGGCAGCGGCCGCUGCGGCAGGAGCUUCAUCUUCUCGCCCAGGCUCCGGAGGCCCCUCUUCUGCUUGCAUAUCUUCCGGCACUCAGGACAGCAGGGCGGCUCACAGCCCGGGAGACGGUGUGUGCUGAAGCACCGUAUGCAGAAGUCGUGGCCACAGUCCAGCGAGAUGGGGUCGCGCAACCUCUCCAGGCAGAUGGAGCAGCCUGGCGGAUCCAGCCUC
Long non-coding RNA from Homo sapiens (human), 567 nucleotides. Lineage: Eukaryota; Metazoa; Chordata; Mammalia; Primates; Hominidae. The record is from Ensembl.